AUCCAGUUGAUGAAUCCAGAACAGGACGAAACGCACGUCCUGGAU
RNAcentral lists this non-coding RNA (45 nucleotides) under Schistosoma margrebowiei. Lineage: Eukaryota; Metazoa; Platyhelminthes; Trematoda; Strigeidida; Schistosomatidae. The record is from RNAcentral.